GCUCAGUUGGUAGAGCAUGGUGUUUGCAACGCCAGGAUUGUGGGUUCGAUCCCCAC
This 56-nucleotide transfer RNA is filed under the name Salmo salar (Atlantic salmon). It matches the Rfam family "tRNA", at positions 10 to 63 of the family's 71-position model. Rfam says of the family: Transfer RNA (tRNA) molecules are approximately 80 nucleotides in length. Their secondary structure includes four short double-helical elements and three loops (D, anti-codon, and T loops). Further hydrogen bonds mediate the characteristic L-shaped molecular structure. tRNAs have two regions of fundamental functional importance: the anti-codon, which is responsible for specific mRNA codon recognition, and the 3' end, to which the tRNAs corresponding amino acid is attached (by aminoacyl-tRNA synthetases). tRNAs cope with the degeneracy of the genetic code in two manners: having more than one tRNA (with a specific anti-codon) for a particular amino acid; and 'wobble' base-pairing, i.e. permitting non-standard base-pairing at the 3rd anti-codon position. The record is from Rfam by way of RNAcentral. Lineage: Eukaryota; Metazoa; Chordata; Actinopteri; Salmoniformes; Salmonidae.